UGUGUGACGUUUGGGUAGUCUGGGCCCUUUGUUAAAAGAAGCCAUUCUACUAAAAACUGAUGGAAGGAUGUCCGGACCAUGUUGGAAAAACGGUCACAGGAGUGCUUCACAAGUUCCCCACACAGGCUGAAGGGAGCAUCUGACAGGCAGAAGAUGUCUUUCUCUGGUAGUUCCACCCUUCUUUGCAACAGGACGCAGGAGAUGCAACCAGCAGAAUUUAUUUGAACUGGGACUUGAGAUGUACCUGAAGUGGACCAUAAUGCGAGAUCCAUGAGUUUGUAUGAGAAAGCUGC
This is a long non-coding RNA of Gymnogyps californianus (California condor), 293 nucleotides long. RefSeq lists it as uncharacterized. The record is from RefSeq and is a predicted model, not a curated record. The transcript is spliced from 3 exons. Lineage: Eukaryota; Metazoa; Chordata; Aves; Accipitriformes; Cathartidae.